Molecule: ribosomal RNA, 253 nt
Filed under: uncultured bacterium
Lineage: Bacteria
Description: partial 16S ribosomal RNA
Rfam family: Bacterial small subunit ribosomal RNA
Source: RNAcentral
UACGUAGGCAGCAAGCGUUGUUCGGAGUUACUGGGCGUAAAGGGUGUGUAGGCGGUUGGUUAAGUUUGGUGUGAAAUCUCCCGGCUCAACUGGGAGGGUGCGCCGAAUACUGAAUGACUAGAGGGCGGGAGAGGUGAGUGGAAUUCCUGGUGUAGCGGUGAAAUGCGUAGAUAUCAGGAGGAACACCGGUGGCGAAGGCGGGUCUCUGGGCCGAUACUGACGCUGAGGAGCGAAAGCAUGGGGAGCAAACAGG